AUGGGUUUUGCCAGUGACUACUCGGACUCAUCAAGCAUCAGAGAAUCAGAAAGUGUCCUCCCCAGGACCUCUCAGAGAAGCACAGAGGCGAUUUCAGGAGACACUGCCUUGCUCACAUCCAAGAUACGGGUAGGUGGUUCUCUUUCUUUCCUCUCCCCGUAGAUUGAGGGGGAAACACUGAACAGAGUGUUAUCAAAUCAGAUGACUAGAGAUGACUGUUGGGUCCUGUGAGGUGAAGCCCACCUGGGACACACCGGUGUCAAGACUGUGUUUGCGGCUUAUUCCUCCCUGUGGAUUUUAGAGGGUAAGAGAGACCAUUGACCUUGAUUUCUUUGUGCAGUUCUCCAUGGUAGAUCAUCUUUAGAAUACUUGCCUGUCCACUCUAGGCUGGAUGGAGCUCGGCUAUCUCAUCCCAUUUCCAGAUACGCUGGUCUUCUUCCUUGAAGUCCCAGAGGGUGACCUCACUAGGCCCCUUGACUCCGUACAGUGGAGGCAGUGUUCUUUCAUUCAUUUGUCCUCUCCUCCCUCUACCAGACUUCUUUAGGUGUAUACUAGGGCCCAGGGGCAGAGAAUAUCCAAAUACUUUACAUCCUUGGAGGUGCUAGAGGG
This 609-nucleotide long non-coding RNA is filed under the name Bos indicus x Bos taurus (hybrid cattle). RNAcentral describes it as "lncRNA (ENSBIXG00000007839.1)". Lineage: Eukaryota; Metazoa; Chordata; Mammalia; Artiodactyla; Bovidae. The record is from RNAcentral.